GACCCAGACUCCUACGGGAGGCAGCAGUGGGGAAUAUUGCACAAUGGGGGAAACCCUGAUGCAGCAACGCCGCGUGAGUGAAGAAGUAUUUCGGUAUGUAAAGCUCUAUCAGCAGGGAAGAAGAUGACGGUACCUGACCAAGAAGCCCCGGCUAACUACGUGCCAGCAGCCGCGGUAAUACGUAGGGGGCAAGCGUUAUCCGGAUUUACUGGGUGUAAAGGGAGCGCAGACGGCAGUGCAAGUCUGGAGUGAAAGCCCGGGGCCCAACCCCGGAACUGCUCUGGAAACUGUGGAGCUUGAGUGCGGGAGGGGCAGGCGGAAUUCCUAGUGUAGCGGUGAAAUGCGUAGAUAUUAGGAGGAACACCGGCGGCGAAGGCGGCCUGCUGGACCGUAACUGACGUUGAGGCUCGAAAGCGUGGGGAGCAAACAGGAUUAGAUACCCUCGUAAA
Molecule: ribosomal RNA, 449 nt
Filed under: uncultured bacterium
Lineage: Bacteria
Description: bacterial SSU rRNA
Rfam family: Bacterial small subunit ribosomal RNA
Source: RNAcentral